Molecule: ribosomal RNA, 253 nt
Filed under: uncultured bacterium
Lineage: Bacteria
Description: partial 16S ribosomal RNA
Rfam family: Bacterial small subunit ribosomal RNA
Source: RNAcentral
GACAGAGGGUGCAAACGUUGCUCGGAAUCACUGGGCGUAAAGGGCGUGUAGGCGGGAAGGCAAGUCGGUCGUGAAAUCCCUCGGCUCAACUGAGGAUCGUCGAUCGAUACUGCCGUUCUUGAGGAUUGCAGAGGAGACUGGAAUUCCCGGUGUAGCGGUGAAAUGUGUAGAGAUCGGGAGGAACACCGGUGGCGAAGGCGGGUCUCUGGGCAAUUCCUGACGCUGAGGCGCGAAAGCGUGGGGAGCAAACGGG